Molecule: long non-coding RNA, 603 nt
Filed under: Pan troglodytes (chimpanzee)
Lineage: Eukaryota; Metazoa; Chordata; Mammalia; Primates; Hominidae
Description: lincRNA
Source: RNAcentral
CUGGAAAAAAAGAAUGAAUGACUAUAAUUUUGGCAAUUGCAGACCUAUUCAGUGUCAUUUGAUUGAAUGAUUGAUCAGGUGGUAGAAGAGGCUUGAGCAGGCCGACUUGCCCUUCAGGAAUACUGCCUGGCCUUCAGAUUCAACCUUAUUGCUUGACACUACUUGGCCCGCUCAGUGGCGCUAUCUCGGCUCACCACAACAUCUGCCUCCUGGGUUCAAGCGAUUCUCCUGCCUCAGCCUCCUGAGUAGCUGGGAUUACAGGAACCGGGCAAAUCUAACUCAGUCUUCCUUUGAUCCACACUGGAUGAGUGAACUGCAUAGAUGGGGUUUUGCUAUGCUGCCCAUGGCUGGUCUUGAACCCCUGAGCUCAAGUGAUCCAUCAUGUGCACCACUGCCCCAGGUGAACUUUUUACAUAAAGUAUAAGAAAACAGAUUCCUCCUCUCAAUGCCUACAGGAAUCCCCUCUGAUCUUCUAACUGGUAAAGUACUAAGUUAAAAAAACCUCUUAGCCCUCUGUCUCUCCAAGUUGGGUAGUAUUAAAUAUAUGAAUCCAUUUUUAGCCUGGGCAGUAUGGUGAGACUCUGUCUCCAUACACACACACAC